UUCCAAAUAGCGGAGGAAAAGAAACCAACAGGGAUUGCCCUAGUAACGGCGAGUGAAGCGGCAACAGCUCAAAUUUGAAAGCUAGCCUUCGGGUUCGCAUUGUAAUUUGUAGAGGAUGAUUUGGGGAAGCCGCCUGUCUAAGUUCCUUGGAACAGGACGUCAUAGAGGGUGAGAAUCCCGUAUGUGACAGGAAAUGGCACCCUAUGUAAAUCUCCUUCGACGAGUCGAGUUGUUUGGGAAUGCAGCUCUAAAUGGGAGGUAAAUUUCUUCUAAAGCUAAAUAUUGGCGAGAGACCGAUAGCGCACAAGUAGAGUGAUCGAAAGAUGAAAAGCACUUUGGAAAGAGAGUUAAAAAGCACGUGAAAUUGUUGAAAGGGAAGCGCUUGCAAUCAGACUUGUUUAAACUGUUCGGCCGGUCUUCUGACCGGUUUACUCAGUUUGGACAGGCCAGCAUCAGUUUCGGCGGCCGGAUAAAGGCUCUGGGAAUGUGGCCUCCACUUCGGUGGAGGUGUUAUAGCCCAGGGUGUAAUACGGCCAGCCGGGACUGAGGUCCGCGCUUCGGCUAGGAUGCUGGCGUAAUGGUUGUAAGCGACCCGUCUUAAAACCCGGGAC
This 611-nucleotide ribosomal RNA is filed under the name Aureobasidium pullulans. Its description in RNAcentral is "partial large subunit ribosomal RNA". It matches the Rfam family "Eukaryotic large subunit ribosomal RNA", at positions 41 to 664 of the family's 3401-position model. The record is from RNAcentral. Lineage: Eukaryota; Fungi; Ascomycota; Dothideomycetes; Dothideales; Saccotheciaceae.